RNAcentral lists this ribosomal RNA (906 nucleotides) under uncultured bacterium. RNAcentral describes it as "bacterial SSU rRNA". It matches the Rfam family "Bacterial small subunit ribosomal RNA", at positions 496 to 1399 of the family's 1533-position model. The record is from RNAcentral.
AUAUGGAUUGUGUCAGCAGCCGCGCGGUAAUACGAAAGGGACCUAGCGUAGUUCGGAAUUACUGGGCUUAAAGAGUUUGUAGGUGGUUAAAAAAAGUUGGUGGUGAAAUCCCAGAGCUUAACUCUGGAACUGCCAUCAAAACUUUUUAGCUAGAGUUUGAUAGAGGAAAGCAGAAUUUCUAGUGUAGAGGUGAAAUUCGUAGAUAUUAGAAAGAAUACCGAUUGCGAAGGCAGCUUUCUGGAUCAAUACUGACACUGAGGAACGAAAGCAUGGGUAGCGAAGAGGAUUAGAUACCCUCGUAGUCCAUGCCGUAAACGAUGUGUGUUAGAUGUUGGAAAUUUAUUUUCAGUAUCGCAGCGAAAGCAUUAAACACACCGCCUGGGGAGUACGACCGCAAGGUUAAAACUCAAAUGAAUUGACGGGGACCCGCACAAGUAGUGGAGCAUGUGGUUUAAUUCGAAGAUACGCGCAGAACCUUACCAACACUUGACAUGUUUGUCGCGACUUUAAGAGAUUAAAGUCUUCGGUUCGGCCGGACAAAACACAGGUGCUGCAUGGCUGUCGUCAGCUCGUGUCGUGAGAUGUUGGGUUAAGUCCCGCAACGAGCGCAACCCUCACUUUUAGUUGCCACCAUUUAGUUGGGCACUCUGAAAGGACUGCCAGUGAUAAGCUGGAGGAAGGUGGGGAUGACGUCAAGUCCUCAUGGCCCUUACGUGUUGGGCUACACACGUGCUACAAUGGCAUUUACAAUAGGAUGCAAGAUGGCGACAUUGAGCAAAUCCUAAAAAGAUGCCUCAGUUCGGAUUGUACUCUGCAACUCGAGUACAUGAAGCUGGAAUUACUAGUAAUCGCGGAUCAGCGCGCCGCGGUGAAUACGUUCCCGGGUCUUGCACACACCGCCCGUCA